This 349-nucleotide ribosomal RNA is filed under the name uncultured Oomycota. Its description in RNAcentral is "eukaryotic LSU rRNA". It matches the Rfam family "Eukaryotic large subunit ribosomal RNA", at positions 326 to 520 of the family's 3401-position model. The record is from RNAcentral. Lineage: Eukaryota; Oomycota.
GUGCGAGACCGAUAGCGAACAAGUACCGUGAGGAAAAGAUGAAAAGAACUUUGAAAAGAGAGUUAAAGAGUACCUGAAACUGCUGAAAGGGAACCGGAUCGUUUCCAGUGUCUAUAAUCUGCGGCAUAUUUCAUUGGCGAGUGUGUGUAUGCGUGUGCUGUGGCAGCGGCUUUUUUGGCUGCGCUCGGUGCGUGUGUGCGUGUGCUUGCUGGUGCCCUGUGCUGUGGUGGGACGUCAAUGUCAGUUCGUAUGCUGCGGGAAAUGGCUGCUGAGGAGGUAGGGCUUGCGCUUUGCGUUUGUCUAUUAUAUCUUGGCGGACGAGUCGUCGCGGUUGGGACUGAGGGCCUAC